RNAcentral lists this ribosomal RNA (253 nucleotides) under uncultured bacterium. Its description in RNAcentral is "partial 16S ribosomal RNA". It matches the Rfam family "Bacterial small subunit ribosomal RNA", at positions 524 to 776 of the family's 1533-position model. The record is from RNAcentral.
UACGUAGGGCGCAAGCGUUAUCCGGAAUUAUUGGGCGUAAAGAGCUCGUAGGCGGCUUGUCGCGUCUGCCGUGAAAGUCCGGGGCUCAACUCCGGACCUGCGGUGGGUACGGGCAGACUAGAGUGAUGUAGGGGAGACUGGAAUUCCUGGUGUAGCGGUGAAAUGCGCAGAUAUCAGGAGGAACACCGAUGGCGAAGGCAGGUCUCUGGGCAUUAACUGACGCUGAGGAGCGAAAGCAUGGGGAGCGAACAGG